RNAcentral lists this long non-coding RNA (898 nucleotides) under Trifolium pratense (red clover). Its description in RNAcentral is "long non-coding RNA (TPRA_LNC009923)". Lineage: Eukaryota; Viridiplantae; Streptophyta; Magnoliopsida; Fabales; Fabaceae. The record is from RNAcentral.
AACACAAACAGCACUGUUAAGUUACCCCUCAAAACAUAAUCAAAUACAAAAUUUGAAAGCAUAGGAAGACAAAGAGGCACCUAAGGGUAAAACAUUGCCCCUAGCAAAUCUCAAAAUGGGUUCCACCCAAGUCAGUCCUUUUGCCUCUUUGCCUCCACUACCAUCUAUCUGAAUUUCCAAAAUCAAAUCAAUUAACAAAAAAAUAAUUCUUAAAUGCAGAUAACAUCAUUAAACUCCAUUACUUUUAUCAAAGAAGAAUUACACUUUAGAAACCACAUAGUUAUUCUUAAAAUUUAAUUUAAAACAUAAAACCCAGAUAUUGAAACUGCAAUUUAGCUAAGUUCAGAUAACAAAUAUUACAUCUUAGAAUUUAGGAUGAGUCUAACUCAACCCUACAAAACCGGGUUCCUUACUAAGGAUUGUCUCUACUUAUAAACUCAUAUUCAAGCCAUUUUAUCUGGGACUCUUUAACACACCCUUUUACGCUCAACACUAUUGGACUUGAUGUGUGGAUAUAAAUGGUGGGUGAUCCAAUAGUGAAAACCCGAUAUCAGUUGGCCCAACAGAUCUUGAAGAAGGCUAUGAUAUCAUCUUAGAAUUUGGGUUGGACCUAACUCGCUAGUAAGGUGAAGAUUAUUUCUACUUGUAAAGACAUCUUCAUCUUCAGGUCAUUUCACAUAUCAUAAUAAGUGCAGACAAAGUUGGAAUUCAACUAACCACUAUUCAAUUCAAUAUAAAUAUGUUAAUGAAAAAGAGAUAGUUUCAAUUCCUCAAAUUAAAUUUUGAAGCUUAUAAUCAUGGGGAUGAAGGAGAAAAAGAACCUGAUGGGAUUGAGCACAGGCCCUGAAGGGAGAUGGUACAUAAACAGCAGGGCGUAGAGUGAAGGAUUUAACAGCNN